AAAAAGUUAAACCCUAAGUUUCCGCGCCAACGUUUGACUAUCCGUCUUAUAUGAAAUAUUUUUAUAAUUAGUAUUUUUAUUAUUGUUAGAUGAUAAAACAUAAUUAAUACUUUAUGCGUGACUUAUCUUUUUAUUUUUUUCAUAAUUUUUUUAAAUAAGACGAACGGUCAAACGUUGGACACGGAAAUCAGGGUUUGUCUUUUU
This is a microRNA precursor of Oryza rufipogon (brownbeard rice), 204 nucleotides long. It matches the Rfam family "MIR812 microRNA precursor family". NCBI's taxonomy places the organism in Eukaryota, Viridiplantae, Streptophyta, Magnoliopsida, Poales, Poaceae. The record is from Rfam.